RNAcentral lists this ribosomal RNA (253 nucleotides) under uncultured bacterium. Its description in RNAcentral is "partial 16S ribosomal RNA". It matches the Rfam family "Bacterial small subunit ribosomal RNA", at positions 524 to 776 of the family's 1533-position model. The record is from RNAcentral.
UACAGAGGUCCCAAGCGUUGUUCGGAUUCACUGGGCGUAAAGGGUGCGUAGGGGGUCUGCAAAGUCGGGUGUGAAAUCCCACCGCUUAACGGUGGAAUGGCACUCGAUACUGGCGGGCUAGAGGAUCGGAGGGGAGAGCGGAAUUCCUGGUGUAGCGGUGAAAUGCGUAGAUAUCAGGAGGAACACCAACGGCGAAAGCAGCUCUCUGGAAGAUACCUGACCCUGAGGCACGAAGGCCAGGGGAGCAAACGGG